This 422-nucleotide ribosomal RNA is filed under the name uncultured prokaryote. RNAcentral's name for it is "bacterial SSU rRNA". It matches the Rfam family "Bacterial small subunit ribosomal RNA", at positions 355 to 774 of the family's 1533-position model. The record is from RNAcentral.
UGGGGAAUUUUGCUCAAUGGGGGAAACCCUGAAGCAGCGAUGCCGCGUGAGGGACGAAGGUCUUCGGAUUGUAAACCUCUUUUACAGACGAAAAAUGGCCUGGUGAAUAGCCAGGUCUGAUGGUACUCUGUGAAUAAGCCACGGCUAACUUCGUGCCAGCAGCCGCGGUAAGACGAAGGUGGCGAGCGUUACUCGGAAUUACUAGGCGUAAAGCGUGGGCAGGCGGUUCGGUAAGUCUGUUGUGGAAGCUCCCGGCUCAACCGGGAGAGGCCAAUGGAAACUACCGAGCUUGAAUCGAGGAGGGGUCACUGGAAUUCCCGGUGUAGCGGUGAAAUGCGUAGAGAUCGGGAGGAACAUCCAUGGCGAAGGCAGGUGACUGGACUCGUAUUGACGCUCAUCCACGAAAGCUGGGGGAUCAAACA